GUUCGAAAUUAAAAAAAGGGAACUGGGUUUUUGUGUUCAUGAAUCUCCCCUGGCACAUCUGGCUAACCUGACUUAGGAUUUUUCAUGGUUUUUCACAGUACCACCAGGCAAAUGUUGAUUGGACUUAGUAUCCCUAAUCAGGUGACAAGCACCAAGACUUUUGAAUACAUUAUUUACUAACCAUCAACCUUUUGAUACUAUAUAGUUUCCGCUACGAAGUGUGUUGUGAAUUCAUGAAAGGAAAUGUGGUGCAGGAGCAGUUUUGAAUGUUAUUAAUAAUCGGACACAACUUUCAGCGCCAGAAGAGAUACUGUCCAACAUCAAGAUUGAGCCCGAGGACAGCGAACUGGAGCUACAGAUAGCCCUCAAGAAAGCAUGGAGACUGGAGCUGCAGGAGGCUGUUACAGAAUCAAAGAACAAUGUAGAAAAGGUGGCAGAGUCAGUACUGGAGAGAAACUCAGAAGGAAACAUGGAAGGUGGUUCCAGUGUGCUGAAUGCUACAGCAGAAUUCUGCUGUACGUUGGGUGACAUCCCCAUUUAUGGUCUGGCUGACAACUGAUGAGGAUGCUCAGGAACUGCUUGACUCUGACAAGGAAAUGAUUUAAGAGAAGAAACGUCAGAAAGAAGAAGACAAACGUGAAGCUUGGAAUGAAGUUGAGAUUGAUACCUGUCUCAUGAAUUUCAUGGAAAGGGACCUGUCAGAAAUAAAGUGGAGAAACGAAUGAAGGAAACUGAACUGGAGGGAAGCAACCAUCUCAAAAACAAAACUGAAAUUCUUCAUGAAAUAUGCUGGCACCAACUCUGAACUUUGGCGUGGACUUAUGUUUUUAUUGUUCCUUACUGUCUUUAUUGUUCCUUACUGUCUGGAAUAUCAUCUUUCUUUUUAAAUAAGACACAACUUGCAGCUGCUGACAGUGCGUAAGUGUACUGGGAGGAAGGCCACAGAGUUUAUGUCACAUUCACAUGAGUACCGUGGCUCUCCUGCUGGUACCUGUAAGCUGAAAAGUACAAUUUCUAGUGAUUAGUUACUUGCUUACAAGACUUGAGCCAGAUUAACAGCCUCUAAGCUAAAUCAGACAUUAAUCAGUAAUUACAUUUGGCCGUUCUUGAUUGCAAUAGCAAUAUUGUAUCCUUCCAAGGGAAGAAAGAAACCCUUGUUCAGUUGUAGGCCAGUGUGAAAAGCUGUAAAAUUGUACAAGCAACAGAAUCAGAAGAUGCACAGUCUACUGCAAAUCAUUGUAAAGCACCACUGAUAUAUCACUGAAACAUUUGUAAUGGGUUAUAAAAGUAACUUGGUUCAUCCUGGUCUGUCACACUAGAAAUGUAUAUAAGGUUUUUAACCACUGUCCAGUAUGAUUAUAUGUUUCAGUCAAAAUGACCCUCUUCAGAAAAAUAUUAUCAACACAUAUGGAAACUGCUGUUACAUGUCAUACAUACAUAUAUAUGUUAUAUCUUUGUACUAAUAUUAAGAUGUACAUUGAUAUCUUAAAACAUCUAAAAAUUAUUACAAUUAGUCUGUUUACAAAAUAAUGUUCAGUAUUUGUUUUAAACUAGAACCAGUUUGGUUUCUUGUCCUUACACUUUUGUAAUAAUUUUAGAUGUUUUAAAAAAUCAAUGUACACCUUAAUAUUCGUUAAAUGAUAUAACAUAUAUAUCUAUGACAUGUAACAGUAGUUUCCAUAAGUGUUGAUAAUAUCCUUCUGAAGAUGGCCGUUUUAACUGAAACAUAUAAAGGAUGAAAAAUUAGAAACAGCUUCUAUAAAUCACACUGGACGGUGGUUACAAAUCUUAUAUGUGGUUAUAAAAGGCCUGUCUUUAAUCCACAUGCAGAUGAUCAAGAGUCUUCUGUAGGUAUACAAAAUCUCGAAAGCCACAUAUACUUGGCCAAUAAUAAUGUCAGGUCAUGAAACUGUGUAAGACUGAUCUUAAGGCAUCUUCUUGGGGGUGGUGAUAAUGAUUUGAACCCAAAAUGAAUAUAUAAGUCAGUGCUGAACAUUAUCUGAAGUCUGAAUUGUAAUCCUGAUGUGUUACUAGUCUUCACUUAAGUAGGUACACAGACAGACUCCAGGUGUUCCCAAACUUACAUUUUCCUUGAUAUCAGUAAUGUAUAACUGGAAGUUGACAUCCUCAGUCACAUAUAUUCCAGCCACCUGAUUAUUUAAGACAGUUUCAGUAUGUUUUAGUCUCUGUUAAUAGAAAUUUACUUGAAAUCACAUUAUUACAAAAGUAGUUAACAUUUGUGUAUUUCUUCAUGAGAUAGGGAUUAUAAUUUAAACAUGUACACCUACUCCAUUAGGUGCAUGCCGAUUAUGUAGUUCAGUUAGUGUGGUUACUUGUAAGGUUGGAAUUGUGUGUGGAGUUGAUUUCAGUUUGUAACAUUCUCACUCAGAGCAGUCUGCUUAUGGUAAUUGAUGGUCAUUACUAUCUGUCCUUACCAUAGGUAAUUAAUUUUUCAGUAAAUGGUUUUCAAACAAAAGGUAUGACACACCUAUCAAAAGAAACUGAAGAUUUUUUUCUUUAUUGUUCAGUAUCCUUUUGAGAAGGGUACAAUAAAAUGGUUUUACUUGGUGUAGUUUUUAAUGUAUAUCAUCUUUAGGAAAAAUGAUAUGAAAAUGCUUAAAUUUCAUGAUAUGUUUGUAUGCACUCAGAGUUUCACUGUAAACGUGAGGUGACCACGUGCAGUUGGAGCCCAGGCUGGGCCACUGAAGCGUGAGGCCGAUAGCUUUAAAUGGUUGCAAUGGUAGACUUGCCAUUUCUAAUUAAUUUGUACAGAUUUCCUAACAAACUCACUACUGUGAUGAAGACUUGUUUUGAGAAUUUAUUUCAUUAUGUAAUGUAAUUCAUCUGUGCUGAUCACAGUUCAGUUUAAUCAGUACAGCACAAUUACUGUAUGGUUGUAGUGUGUCAAUAUUUCUUGUUCAUGAAUGGAAGUACAGUCAUCUACAAGCACCAGUGUUACAUGAGAUAUUCAUGGCAGUGAUCAUGAGGAAGUUGGAAGUGACGCUGUAUAGGUGGGUAGGAGUCCACAAAGAUUUUGGAGGAACGUACUGUCACAUUCGUAAAGGUAGACUUCUACUACGUACAUUCUGUCACAUCCGCAAUAUUAUUGAGGACAAGUCUUCUGAAAUGUAAUGCUCUGUAAUCCAUCUUCAGGAUGGAAAAUUGAAGCUGAAGGCAUUGUGUUCCUCUGAAAUGUCAUUGAACUUCUACCAACAUACACAGUAUCAUAUCCCGUAUCAUCAGCCAAAUGAAACUGCUGUUUGUGGAUGAUCUGAUUUAAUAUUGUGAAUUGAAACAUCUGUACCUACAUAAUCUGAAUGGCUGAUAUCUGGAGUCAUCCUAAAGAUGGAGGCACACAUUCCACCUAAACGUUAGUAUCCACCUAUCAGACUGUGUUUCACCAGAACCCUGGUAUCCGCCUUCUGACUACAACACAGUGUUAUAGCACACAGCAUCCCCACCAAGGAACUUGAUGAUUAUACAGCUUUCCAGUUUUGUCAGGAAAGUUACAUCAAGGACUUGUAGCUCAGAUGGGGGGAACACAAAUACAUUUCAUUUCAUGCAUCCUGUUGUGUUAUUAUAUACCAUUCUUUAUUGGAGUCCGUCGUGACACAACAACAUAACGGUGAAAGUUAAAGUUACCUAGCUACAUGUUUCAACUUUCUAAAGCACAUGAUUACUAAUUGUGUCUGAAUAUAGUAAUCGUGUGUUUUGCCUGACGAUGGCUUUAAAAUUGCGAAACAUGUAGCUGGGUAAUUUUAACCUUGACCAUUAUGUUGUUGUGUUACGAUGGACUCCAAUAAAGAAUUGAACACAAAUACGUGCAAUAUUUUUGUUGGAACAUGCUGGAAAGCAUCCACUUGGCAAAGCAAAAGUGGUGGAAGGAAGAUAUCAGACCAGAUCUUGACAAAACUGGGUAUAUGACUGUGGAACAUGAUGUGUUCACUAGUGGGCUUUGGUAUUAGCAACAUUCAUCCUGGAAGGGUAUGCUGAAAAGUAAUGCCUUCAUAAGACAGUGGUGAAAAUGUAGUUCUGUCCUGCCACACUUACAGAAGUAGAGGUAUGCCUUGGUAUAUGCAAGUUUGAAACAUGUUGUUUCAUUUUAAUGCUGUCAAUUAUAAGUAAUUUAGACCUGCUUUAGUAUGAACUGCUUGCUGGCCCAUCAAGAGAGGUCAGAAGAAGGGUGAAUUAGGAUGCUGUGCAUGAAUGAAAUUGCUGUUAUGGAAAAGAAAUCGGGAGCCAUUACUUUCAGCAUGCCUCUGUCACCAGGAGAAGACAUACACUUCCAAAUGAAAUAUCCCACAUUGUGAAAUUGGAAAUUUCAUAAUGUUAAUUGAAAUCCAUAUUUUAAUAUUUGUUGCUUAACCUCCAGUGGUGUCCUGCGUACAGAGCACACAUGCCAUUGUAUCACAUCACUACGUGGAACACAGAAUGCCUAUGGCAGCCAUAACUUCUGUCUCUAACAGUGAUAUUAUAUUAAAAGAGCCAGUUUUUUUAUAGCAGUUCAGAAUAAGAAAAUGCUAUAAGCUGUCUAUUCAUGUAUGGGUAGUCACAUUUUGAAAUUUCUGUGGCAUGUAACAAAUACUGUGUACAUCUGAAAUAAAAUUACCCUACUUUACCUUUUA
Molecule: long non-coding RNA, 4625 nt
Organism: Cryptotermes secundus
Lineage: Eukaryota; Metazoa; Arthropoda; Insecta; Blattodea; Kalotermitidae
Exons: 5
Source: RefSeq, a predicted model, not a curated record